UACAGAGGUCUCAAGCGUUGUUCGGAUUCAUUGGGCGUAAAGGGUGCGUAGGUGGCGCUGUAAGUCGGGUGUGAAAUUUCGGAGCUUAACUCCGAAACUGCAUUCGAUACUGGCGUGCUUGAGGACUGAAGAGGAGACUGGAAUUCAUGGUGUAGCAGUGAAAUGCGUAGAGAUCAUGAGGAAGACCAGUGGCGAAGGCGGGUCUCUGGACAGUUCCUGACACUGAGGCGCGAAAGCCAGGGGAGCAAACGGG
RNAcentral lists this ribosomal RNA (253 nucleotides) under uncultured bacterium. RNAcentral's name for it is "partial 16S ribosomal RNA". It matches the Rfam family "Bacterial small subunit ribosomal RNA", at positions 524 to 776 of the family's 1533-position model. The record is from RNAcentral.